This 507-nucleotide small RNA is filed under the name Pan troglodytes (chimpanzee). RNAcentral's name for it is "processed transcript". The record is from RNAcentral. Lineage: Eukaryota; Metazoa; Chordata; Mammalia; Primates; Hominidae.
UUCCUGGUGCUAAAUCCAAUUAAACGCGGCACUCUAGAGCAAAUCAUGAAGGACAGGUGGAUCAAUGCAGGGCAUGAAGAAGAUGAACUCAAACCAUUUGUUGAACCAGAGCUAGACAUCUCAGACCAAAAAAGAAUAGAUAUUAUGGUGGGAAUGGGAUAUUCACAAGAAGAAAUUCAAGAAUCUCUUAGUAAAAUGAAAUAUGAUGAAAUCACAGCUACAUAUUUGUUAUUGGGGAGAAAAUCUUCAGAGCUGGAUGCUAGUGAUUCCAGUUCUAGCAGCAAUCUUUCACUUGCUAAGGUUAGGCCGAGCAGUGAUCUCAACAACAGUACUGGCCAGUCUCCUCACCACAAAGUGCAGAGAAGUGUUUCUUCAAGCCAAAAGCAAAGACGCUACAGUGACCAUGAUGGAAUCUGGCUCUGUCACCCAGGUUGGAAUGCAGUGGCAUGAUCUUGGCUCACUGCAACCUCCACCUCCCGGGUCCCAGCAGUUCUCUUGCCUCAGCCU